Molecule: ribosomal RNA, 243 nt
Filed under: uncultured bacterium
Lineage: Bacteria
Description: partial 16S ribosomal RNA
Rfam family: Bacterial small subunit ribosomal RNA
Source: RNAcentral
CCGGCGCACGGGUGAGUAACACGUAUGCAAUCCACCUGUAACAGGGGGAUAACCCGGAGAAAUCCGGACUAAUACCCCAUAAUAUGGGCGCUCCGCAUGGAGAGCCCAUUAAAGAGAGCAAUUUUGGUUACAGACGAGCAUGCGCUCCAUUAGCCAGUUGGCGGGGUAACGGCCCACCAAGGCGACGAUGGGUAGGGGUUCUGAGAGGAAGGUCCCCCACAUUGGAACUGAGACACGGUCCAA